CCUACGGGAGGCAGCAGUGAGGAAUAUUGGUCAAUGGCCGGAAGGCUGAACCAGCCAAGCCGCGUGAAGGACGAAGGUGCCAAGCAUUGUAAACUUCUUUUGUCAAGGGACAAAAUCAGGCUCGAGAGCCUGCCCGAGGGUACUUGAAGAAAAAGCAUCGGCUAACUCCGUGCCAGCCGCCGCGGUACUACGGAGGAUGCGAGCGUUAUCCGGAUUUAUUGGGUUUAAAGGGUGCGUAGGCGGCUUGUUAAGUCAGCGGUAAAAUCCCGGGGCUCAACCCCGUCGAGCCGUUGAAACUGGCUGUCUUGAGUGGUCGAGAGGUAUGCGGAAUGCGCAGUGUAGCGGUGAAAUGCUUAGAUAUUGCGCAGAACUCCGAUUGCGAAGGCAGCAUACCGGCGGCCAUCUGACGCUGAGGCACGAAAGCGUGGGAAUCGAACAGGAUUAGAUACCCUGGUAGUC
This 459-nucleotide ribosomal RNA is filed under the name uncultured bacterium. Its description in RNAcentral is "partial 16S ribosomal RNA". It matches the Rfam family "Bacterial small subunit ribosomal RNA", at positions 338 to 795 of the family's 1533-position model. The record is from RNAcentral.